UCAGGCCUAACACAUGCAAGUCGAGGGGUACAGUAGCAAUACUGGGGACCGGCGCACGGGUGCGUAACGCGUAUGCAAUCUACCUUUUACAGGGGGAUAGCCCAGAGAAAUUUGGAUUAAUACCUCAUAGUAUAUAUCAUUCGCAUGUUUGGUAUAUCAAAGUUCCAACGGUAAAAGAUGAGCAUGCGUCCCAUUAGUUAGUUGGUAAGGUAACGGCUUACCAAGACGAUGAUGGGUAGGGGUCCUGAGAGGGAGAUCCCCCACACUGGUACUGAGACACGGACCAGACUCCUACGGGAGGCAGCAGUGAGGAAUAUUGGUCAAUGGACGCAAGUCUGAACCAGCCAUGCCGCGUGCAGGAAGACGGUCCUAUGGAUUGUAAAGUGCUUUUGUACGGGAAGAAACACUCCUAC
RNAcentral lists this ribosomal RNA (413 nucleotides) under uncultured bacterium. RNAcentral's name for it is "bacterial SSU rRNA". It matches the Rfam family "Bacterial small subunit ribosomal RNA", at positions 42 to 459 of the family's 1533-position model. The record is from RNAcentral.